AGGUGCUCUGUGCAGACAGGGUGUUUGCGGUUGCAGAGGCAGCUGGGUGGCAGGCAUCAGUCACGGCUGGAAAGCACAGAACGCGAGCAGUGCUCUGAGCACUGCCAUGAAGGAAUUACUGCCUGUGCUGUCCCUACUCGUGGCUCUGAGAUGGGCCCUGGCCCAGGUUUUCCAGCCCUCUCAGCUCACGUAUGUGGAAGGAGAAAGGCUCUUGAUCCUAUGCAGCCAAAAUGCCACCUCCCAUGACAUGAUGUCUUGGUACAAACAGCCCCAGCAGGGCCGGGGGGCACUGAGCUUUCUAGGGAUUGGGCAUGACGGCACCUCCACUGCUGGAGAAUUCACCAUGGCUGUGGACAAGGUCUCCCGCUCCACCAACCUCACCCGAGAUGGAGCCAGCCUGAGCGAUGCUGGCAUCUACUACUGCGCAGUGAGAGACACAGUGAGGGGAACCCAGGUGCCAGCUGCACAGAAACCUGCAGCCUGGCUUCCUGCUGGGUCCUCCUGAGCCAGCCCAGCACUGGGUACCCCUCGCUUCACAUUGAAGCGCCUCUUCUAUUCAAAAGACUUUUUCAAAGUGCUUUAGAAUCUGCAUGCAGAAUCAGAUCUGCUGGAAAACUGCUAGGAUAGAUGGGAGGUUAAUAUACAGUGUG
This is a non-coding RNA of Gopherus flavomarginatus (Mexican gopher tortoise), 650 nucleotides long. The record is from the annotation of a RefSeq genome assembly. NCBI's taxonomy places the organism in Eukaryota, Metazoa, Chordata, Testudines, Testudinidae.